This is a non-coding RNA of Salvelinus sp. IW2-2015, 122 nucleotides long. Lineage: Eukaryota; Metazoa; Chordata; Actinopteri; Salmoniformes; Salmonidae. The record is from RefSeq and is a predicted model, not a curated record.
AAUAAUAAUCACAGUGGUUGUCAAGGGUGCAACAGGUCAGCACCUCAGGAGUAAAUGUCAGUUGGCUUUUCAUAGCCGAUCAUUCAGAGUAUCUCUACCGCUCCUGCUGUCUCUAGAGAGUU